RNAcentral lists this long non-coding RNA (1402 nucleotides) under Citrus maxima (pomelo). Its description in RNAcentral is "long non-coding RNA (CMAX_LNC002463)". Lineage: Eukaryota; Viridiplantae; Streptophyta; Magnoliopsida; Sapindales; Rutaceae. The record is from RNAcentral.
UGAUGGAAUCUACUAGACAAUAUGUUGCUAGUAGUUGGUGUUAAGAUGGUGCCCACGAGUCGGUAUAAAUUUUUUUCCUAUUCGUCGCAUCACAAUGUCUACACUUGUAAGCAGUAAGCGAGGGGACCAUGAUCAAUGCCAUUUAAUUUGAAAUUGACAUAAUGAAAAACUUGGGUAAAGCAUUUGAAAAUCACGAAAGGCCACGGAUUGUGUAUAAUUUUAGUAACAAAGAAGAAGUAGUGGAAGAAGAAAAUUAAAUCCUAGUCCAUGUGGUCCAACGAAAUCGAAAUUUGGCCCAGCCCAAAAUUUUUGGUAAUGUCCCACACACUGACUCACAGUCACAUACAUAGAAUAGAAUAAAUUUAACAUCAAUUUUCUUUGUAAACCAAGUCAUAGACGCCGCGUCCAGAUAUCCUACCAAAAUGACUUUUGAAUAAGGGUGGGUAAAAUACCUGACCCAAUCCGAUCCGAUCCGACCCAAUCCAAAAAAAUUUAAGUUUGGAUCGGUUCGGGUUGUUAUUGAAACCCGAACGGGUGAAAAAUUGUAAACCCGAUCGGGUUGUGAUCGGGUCAGAUAAAACCCGAUCCGAUCCGAAUACCCAAUCGGAUCGCACCAAAAAAAAAAACUCACUAAACCUAUAAACACAUCACACAUGCACACACUAGACACCACACACACAGGCACACACAAAGUCACAACUCAAAACCAAUUGGCUAAAAAAAAAAUUGACAAAUAAAAAACAAAAUCAAAUUAUAACCCAUGCACACAACCGCACACAAACAAAUCUCGCUGCCUUCACAGCCCUUAUCCUCACAGCCCUCAUCCUUACACUCACGACUUCACACACACACACAUCGCAAAAGCCAAAAGCAAAGCAUCAACUGGCAGCCAACGCAAAGAAGAGAGCGGAGGAAGCGUAACCGGCGCAUGCAACCACCUAACCCGUGACUGGAUCUGCUGCUUCGCGACAUCCGUAGCUACCAGAUCUGCUGUUGCCGGAUAUCUACUGGAUCUGCUGCUGCUGGAUCCGCUGCACUGCUAUCAGAUCUGCUGCUGCUGCCUCCACCAUCACCAAGUUCCACCGCAAACCGGCAACCCGAAUUCUUUUCUUUUUUGAUGUUUUGAUGGUAUAUAAUAAUAUAUUAUAUAUUAUCUGUUAAUUGCUAAGUAUAUGUAUUGUUAAAUGUUAAUAAUAAAAUGAGGGAAAUUCUUGUAUGGAAAAUUUUGGAGCUUAAUUUAUCAAGUCCGUGGAAGUUUAAAUUAUAAGUAUGAAUUGAUUUUUUUUGUUUUGUUUUUAAUGAAUAGAUUAAGCAGAUUAAGCACUAAAAUUAAAUAUUUUGCAUUUGAUCUGUGCAGCAGCUUCACCCGAUCCGAAUUAACCCGAUUAUUUGACCCGAUCCG